UAGGAUUCGCGGUGCGCUGGUUCGCCAUGAUGGCUAGGGAAUACGGUGAAAAUCCGUAACUGACGCGCAGCGGUAAUAGAGAACGAAAGCACACGGAUGUAAUGCCAAACACUGUUUUGAUUUGGGGGGAGCCUAAAUCAAAAUGGGAAGUUGUUGCCGUAGGUGGCGUCAAAGCCGAGCUCUUAAGUCCGAAUACCAACCAGUGCUACAAGCAUCCU
Molecule: non-coding RNA, 218 nt
Filed under: Photobacterium jeanii
Lineage: Bacteria; Pseudomonadati; Pseudomonadota; Gammaproteobacteria; Vibrionales; Vibrionaceae
Source: RNAcentral